Molecule: long non-coding RNA, 4260 nt
Filed under: Lactuca sativa (garden lettuce)
Lineage: Eukaryota; Viridiplantae; Streptophyta; Magnoliopsida; Asterales; Asteraceae
Description: long non-coding RNA (LSAT_LNC010111)
Source: RNAcentral
AAUUGAAAUGGAAAUAUUAUAGAAAAAGACUCGUUUAGUCUUUAUGUGAGACAUCAUGAAUCGUGUCCCAUAUGCUUCGGAUAUAGGAUCGAUUGCAUGUGCUAUAUUCAUCCAUUCUAAAAUUUUCCAAAUGCCUGGGGCAUUAAGAAGGGAAAAGGUCUAGAAUUGGAUAUGACUAAAAGGAUUAAACAAUUGUCGAGGAAAAUCUAAGGUUACCAAAGAUUGGUUGCUCAAGGACAGUUGGAAGUAUAGUAAUAAUUCUGGAAGGACCAUAUUGACAUAAUCUGUAAGGAGGCAACUGGUGUUCAAAAGUGAUAGUGAAAAUGGAAUAUGGAAAUGUUUCAAAGUUACAAAUUAUUCAAUCUAUGUAAGAUUAGGAAACUUAAUGCAAGAAGGAUUUUCCAAGGAGUUGAUCUACUUUGGAAUGCUCUGUAAUGAUUGUUGUCAAGUCUUUAUGACUUUGUGCAUAAUCAUUACAAGAGGAUCAAUGCAUAUAAGUUUAGAAUCAAACAGAUUUCAGUAAAUGGCAUGAAUUUGGAAUUCUUGCAUUUGUAGUAAGGAUUUGGGACUAUGAGGAUCAUUGGAGUAAUGUUCAAUUGAUCUAUUUCACAAAGUAAUGAUCAUAGACAACCAUAGUAUGCAUACUUGGUGUAUGGCAUGACUAGUGUUUAGAAAACAUAGUGUACAUGCUUGGAGCAUGGGACAACUAUUGUUUUAAAUUCAAGAAUAAAAUUGAUAGCUGAAACAGUAUACAAUGCAUAAUGUGUAAUCAUAUGGUGAUAAAUAAAAGGUGUUUUAUUUAUGUUCAUAGGUUUUGAUACUUUAUUCGAUUCAAUUAUUCUUGUGUUUCAUUUUGCAUGUUUUGACUUCAAGAAUAAACUAGGUCAUUGUUCUGGAUGACUAAGUUAUUCAAACCAUCCACAGUCGGUCAUAUGUUGGAAGUAAAUAUGAAUUAAGACUGUCAUGGGUUGGCUUGUAGAGGUCUAAGAUGUUGGACAAAGGGCUACAACACUCAUGAGUGCUCAUAAGUUAGGAGUAUUGGAUUCAACCCGCGCUCAUUGGAAUCACUUCAAGGAUUUUAUCACGAGUGAUCAUGAGACGAUAAUAUCUUAUAUUCUUCAAACCUAGAAAUGUGAGUUGUUACUAUGAAUUGGUUAUACACUGAUUGCACGAAAAUGCAUUGGUAACUCGAUGUUAUAAAACGUGCCUUUGUGUCUGAUUCAACAAGUAGUAGAACAAGCCAUAUGAGUCGAAGUUUAUCCAUUCCUUUUACUGUCGGGAUAAAAGCGAUAUCUGUGGGCCCCUCGAUGAUUUGGUGAUGACAAACGUAAGUGCUCGGCCGGGUCUGGACUAAUUUUAUUUGUUCAAUUAGUCAGUCGUCAUAGAUCGGAAAUCAGGAAACAACAAAUGGACAUAGAGAAUGAUUAUAAUCUGUGUCUCAGUCCAAAUGAUAUCUAGAAUGGAGGAAUAUAUGAUCCCUUAUCUAAUGGACAUGUCAUUUGAUUUGUUCAGAGUUUGACAGCGACUUUAAGAGCUACGAUUGCUAGUCGGGAUCUUGGAUUCAUACUUGAAUAAUAAUAAGGAUAGACUUAUCCAAGUGGGAGACUAUUGGAUUAGGUGUCUAAGCCCAUAACUAUUAUUGGUAUGUAUUCGACCCGAGAGUAGCAUGGUCCAUUAGGGUUGCAUAUCAUCAGGACAAUUUGUUAGGAUGGACUUUUGAGAGAAGGUUAUAUAUGGUUUAUUAAUAUAUUAUAUGUAAUAAUAUAUUAAUAUGAAAUCAUAUGUUUUAAUUAGUAUUGAUCAAGAAUUAAUUUGGAAUUAAUUUAGUGGUCGAAAGAGACUUAUUAAAUCUAUGGGGACUAAUUAUGAUAAUUAGUUUUAUUUAUAUGUGUUGGGCUUAUGAUCCAUGUUGGACCAAGUUUAUGUAUAGAUACAUAAACUGUUGGGCCAGAUGAACCAUGGAUCAUAAAACCCAUGGGUAUGGAUUCGGGUUAUAUCCAUGACCCUAGAAAUCCCACGUAUAAAUAGAUACUUCAUUCCCCAAAAUCGCCACUUGUAUCAUUUUAGAGUUCAUGGUGUCUUUUGUGUGCAUGGAAUUCUCUUUCAAGUUCAUCCUUUGUCCAUGGUGUGUUGUGCAGAAAGAUAAAAAGUUUGUCAAAUCUGAAAAGAUGGGAGAGUACUUUAGUAUCAUGUUUUAAGACCAUCUUAAUGAUUUUGAGAUCUUAUCACAAUUCAUCAUCUAAGUGCAUUCUGAUAGUUAAGAAGAGGAGUUAUGAAUUGUUGAAGUGGUUAAAUCAAGAAUAUGAUUGAUACUUCAUUCCAAAAACAAUUCUUAGAGUAAUACUCUAAGAUUGUAACUUGAGUGACAUAUCCAAAAGAAGGUUUAAAACACUUAUCAAAUGUAAGAGUAAAAGUUUUUUACUCUUUUACAUUUGAAAUUGGUAAGUUGUGAUGUUUUGGAUAAAAGAAAGACCAGCUAAGGCCAAUUGUGUGAAGUGUUUGUCUUGAUUAGAAUCCACACUAUCUCUUAAAUAUCUAACAAUAAAGUCUUAUAUGUCAAGAGGACAGUGGGAGUCUUAAAGGUCUUGAAAGUCUCAAGAACUAAUCAAGAAUAAAAUGCGUUGUUCUUCACUAGCACACAACUUGUGGUUUAUAACCUAUCGUGUUGACAUAUUUUGUGCCCAUUCCAGUUAAAGUUGGCUUUGCAUAUGAGUUCUUAUAGUUCUCAAUUGGUUACACAACAACAUGGAAGCAAUGGCAGGCCCUUGAGCUGGCAGGUGGCAAGAAAUUUAGAUUGAGUUCAGUCCAUAUGAGUUUGGAUUUGUCAUUAUCCUUGUCUUGUGACUAUGGUUUUGACAAUUCAUAUGGAUAAGAACACAUACACCAUUAAAUCUAUGGGUCAUAAGGUUUCUCUCCGACUCAUGAAAAUGAUGGUGAGGAAACACUUCCACCAAGUAGAUUUGAAUUAGAUAUCAAUUGUCAUAUUUUCAUCCUCAAAGUCGUUAGUAGAGCUGUGUGGUUAACCGGCACACUAACAUGGACUUGUCAAAGCUAGUGGGAGCAUAAGUGGUAUGCUAAUAGUCAUCAUGUUAGUGGGAGCAUGAUAAUUAUGAUAAAGGUUGCAAGUUAGCAAUGUUAAUUAUAGAAAAUAGAAGGUUUCAAUUGGGAAAAAGUUGUUUUGCUAUAAUUAAGGGAGAGGAAAUUAUACUUCAUCUCAAAUCUAAAAGCUUAGAUUGAGGUUUUAAUCGUAUUUAGUCAAGUAUAUAUAUGAAUGUUAUGUUGGAAUGNUUUAAUCAUUUAUAUAUAUAUAUAUAUAUGAAUGUUAUGUUGGAAUGGCUCAACAUAAGGAAAUUCUAAUAUAUGGGUCCAUUCUUUGCGUUCUAAAAUUCAAUUAUGAUUACCACAUCCCUUUUCAUAAUAUAAAUUAUGAGAACUUGGCAAAUUGAAAUGGAAAUAUUAUAGAAAAAGACUCGUUUAGUCUUUAUGUGAGACAUCAUGAAUCGUGUCCCAUAUGCUUCGGAUAUAGGAUCGAUUGCAUGUGCUAUAUUCAUCCUUUCUAAAAUUUUCCAAAUGCCUGGGGCAUUAAGAAGGGAAAAGGUCUAGAAUUGGAUAUGACUAAAAGGAUUAAACAAUUGUCGAGGAAAAUCUAAGGUUUACCAAAGAUUGGUUGCUCAAGGACAGUUGGAAGUAUAGUGAUAAUUCUGGAAGGACCAUAUUGACAUAAUCUGUAAGGAGGCAACUGUUGUUCAAAAGUGAUAGUGAAAAUGGAAUAUGGAAAUGUUUCAAAGUUACAAAUUAUUCAAUCUAUGUAAGAUUAGGAAACAUAAUGCAAGAAGGAUGUUUCCAAGGAGUUGAUCUCCAUUGGAAUGCUCUGUAAUGAUUGUUGUCAAGUCUUUAUGACUUUGUGCAUAAUCAUUACAAGAGGAUCAAUGCAUAUAAGUUUAGAAUCAAACAGAUUUUAGUAAAUGGCAUGAAUUUGGAAUUCUUGCAUUUGUAGUAAGGAAUUGGGACUAUGAAAAGAGCAUCAUUGGAGUAAUGUUCAAUUGAUCUAUUUCACAAACUUUUCUGUCUUCUUUUGGCUAACAAUCACUUGAUCUCAUAUUCGAGAAUUCGGGCUGCACAUCGCUAAGUCGAAAUUUCGGAAAAUCAUAACUUCCUCACACGAAGUCAGAUUUGGGUGCUCUUUUUGUGCACGCUCUCGAUUUAACGAUGUCACACCCCGAAAACCGAAGGCGGAAACAUUUCCGGGGUUGACUCCAC